Molecule: non-coding RNA, 1185 nt
Organism: Lactuca sativa (garden lettuce)
Lineage: Eukaryota; Viridiplantae; Streptophyta; Magnoliopsida; Asterales; Asteraceae
Source: RefSeq, a predicted model, not a curated record
AAAGAUAACAUACAGUUGCCAUCUCAUCUUUUUUAUUUUAUUUUUCCAUCAUAAAUAAUUUCUUUUUUAUUUGUUAGGUGGUUGCAGCAAAUAUGGUGAGGACUGGCAGGUCAUUAUCUAGCACACACCUCCUCUGUGUUGUUGGGAGAUAUCAAGAAGCUUGUUCACAGGUGUUGAUUGCUCUCAUGUCAUGUCAUUCACAUUCAUUUUCUGCUUAUUAUUAUAUAAUAUUAAAUUAUAUUAAGAAUUCCAUCAUGAAUCUAAGAUUGUUUUUUAUUAAGUUUGUCAGCUGCAAGAUGCAGGGUGUUGGACAGAUGCUACAACCUUAGCAGCAACACAUUUAAAAGGAAGUGAUUAUUCAAGGGUAAUGCAAAGAUGGGCAGGACACGUGUUAAAUGCAGAUAAUAACAUGUGGAGGGUCCUAAUAAUGUAUGUAGCAGUGGGAUGUUUACAAGAAGCAUUGGCGGUGCUGCGUGAAGCUCAUCGACCAGAUAGUGCGGCGAUGUUCAUCAUAGCCUGCCGAGAAAUAUAUUACGUUUAAGCCCUUUUCACGUGCUUAUUUUAAAUUUGUAGAUUUGCUUUUGGGAAACAUUUUAUAUUUAUUUUUGGAAGUUAUUUGUUGUAGGUCACAUUCUUUUCACAAGGCACAAUACCUUAUGUUUCAAAAGAUGGUACAUUUAUUAUGGAUUCUCCAUAAAAGGUAUGAUUUGUAACAUAUUUUUAUUUUGCAUUUUGAUGAAUAUAAAGAAAAUGUUGAAUUGUUUUUUGGGUUUGGUCCAAGGGCAAAAUGGUCGUUUUUGAAAAAAAAAAAAACUAACAGCCAAAAAGUAAACCCAUCCAAGAGAAGGACCAAACUUGGAAUGAACCAACAUCAUAAGGACCUUUUUCAGAAAAAUAUUUAUUUAUUUAUUUAUUAAUAUUAUAUAAAAUAUAAAUAAUUAAAUAAAUAGUAAUUAUGAUACCUUUCUUCAGCAAUGUUGUCCACACAAAAUAUUAAUAUUACACCGAAGAGAAUGGUGCUUGAAAAAGCCCAAACAGAAAAUGGUUAAACUUACAACAAUCAUGUCCCACAUGGCUACAGGAAACAAAAAGCAAGUGGCAGAUGCAAUAGUUAUAGCAUGAAGCCUUCUUUUUAGUUGAUUCUGCAAAUUAAAAAUAUAUGUUAAAUCACGUUUUAGUUAUUAG